UAAGACAUAGGUUGCGAACGUUAUCCGGAAUUAUUGGGCGUAAAGGAUGCGUAGAUGGUUUGAUAAGUUAUCAGUGGCAAAUCGGGGCUCAACCUCGUGGAAGCUGGUAAUACUGUCAUACUCGAGUGCAGGAGAAGUUAACGGAACUCUAUAUGGAGCGGUAAAAUGUGACGAUAUAUAGAAGAACACCAAUAAGGCGAAGGCAGUUAACUAUUCUGUUACUGACAUUGAGGCAUGAAAGCGUGGGGAGCAAAACGGAUUAGAUACCCGUGUAGUCCACGCCCUAAACGAUGAGUGCUAGAUAUUGGGAACUAGAUUCUCAGUGUCGCUAGUUAACACGGUAAGCACUCCGCCUGGGUAGUACGAUCGCAAGGUUG
RNAcentral lists this ribosomal RNA (377 nucleotides) under uncultured bacterium. RNAcentral's name for it is "bacterial SSU rRNA". It matches the Rfam family "Bacterial small subunit ribosomal RNA", at positions 521 to 896 of the family's 1533-position model. The record is from RNAcentral.